CGGGACGUGGCCUAGCGGCAAGGCGCCUGCUUUGGGAGCAGGAGAUCGUGGGUUCAAAUCCCACCGUCCCGA
This 72-nucleotide transfer RNA is filed under the name Patescibacteria group bacterium. Its description in RNAcentral is "tRNA-Pro". It matches the Rfam family "tRNA". Rfam says of the family: Transfer RNA (tRNA) molecules are approximately 80 nucleotides in length. The record is from RNAcentral.